CGAAAGGGGCGGUAAUACCAGAUAAUGUCCUUCGGGACCAAAGAUUUAUCGGCAUUGGAGCGGCCUAUCUCCUAUCAGCUUGUUGGUGAGGUAACGGCUCACCAAGGCAACGACGGGUAGCGGGACUGAGAGGUUGGCCCGCCACAUCGGGACUGAGACACUGCCCGGACCUCCACGGAGGGCUGCAGUAACGGAUAUUGGGCAAUGGGCGAAAGCCUGACCCAGCAAUGCCGCGUGCAGGAUGAAGCCCCUAGGGGUGUAAACUGCUGUCAGGGGUCAGAAAGCUGGUUUCGGCCAGUUGAUCAACCCCAGAGGAAGUCACGGCUAACUUCGUGCCAGCAGCCGCGGUAAUACGAAGGUGGCAAGCGUUAUUCGGAAUCAUUGGGCUUAAAGGGCACGCAGGCGGAACAGUGUGUGUUGUGUGAAAUCCCCCGGCUUAACCGGGGAAUUGCACAGCAAACUGCUGUUCUUGAGGCAGGUAGGGGUGCAUGGAACUCUUGGUGGAGCGGUGGAAUGCGUAGAUAUCAAGAGGAACGCCAGAGGUGAAGACGGUGCACUGGGCCUGUCCUGACGCUGAGGUGCGAAAGCGUGGGGAGCGAACGGGAUUAGAUACCCCGGUAGUCCACGCCGUAAACGAUGUCUACUAGGUCGUGGGUGUUCUGACACAUUCACGGCCGGAGCAAAAGUGUUUAGUAGACCGCCUGGGGAGUACGACCGCAAGGUUAAAACUCAAAUGAAUUGACGGGGGCUCACACAAGCGGUGGAGCAUGUGGAUUAAUUCGAAGCAACGCGCAGAACCUUACCUGGGUUUGACAUGCUUGGAUGCCUGCUCUGAAAGGAGUUAGGCUGCCUUCGGGUGAAACUUGCACAGCUGCUGCAUGGCUGUCGUCAGCUCGUGUCGUGAGAUGUCGGGUUAAGUCCUUUAACGAGCGAUACCCUAGCCGUUAGUUGCCAGCGAGUAAUGUCGGGGACUCUAACGGGACUGCCGGUGUUAAACCGGAGGAAGGUGGGGAUGACGUCAAGUCCUCAUGGCCUUUAUGCCCAGGGCUUCACACGUGCUACAAUGGCAAUUACAGAGCGACGCGAUACCGCGAGGUGGAGCAAAUCGCAAAAAAAUUGCCUCAGUUCGGAUUGCAGGCUGGCAAUUCGCCU
Molecule: ribosomal RNA, 1152 nt
Filed under: uncultured organism
Description: bacterial SSU rRNA
Rfam family: Bacterial small subunit ribosomal RNA
Source: RNAcentral